Arvicanthis niloticus (Nile rat) is the source of this 132-nucleotide small nucleolar RNA. RefSeq annotates it as small nucleolar RNA SNORA17. Lineage: Eukaryota; Metazoa; Chordata; Mammalia; Rodentia; Muridae. The record is from RefSeq and is a predicted model, not a curated record.
AAUCACCCCGGAAGCAUUGCAGAUGUGGCUGCUGUGUCAUAUGUGUAUCAGUAGGUGACACAGAGAAGCGAGUCUGUGUCUAUGCUCAGUGCUCUGGCCAAUGGACAUCUGAAUGAUUAGUAAUCUAACAUU